AGAGGGCGUGAAACCGCUUAGAAGGAAACGAGAGGCGCCGCGAUCUGCCGGCAAGAUUCACCUGCCUUCGCCGCUCGUCGGUGCAGGUAGCGCAUUUCUUGUCGGUGCGCACUGAGAACUGUGCGGUUGGCUUGCCGUGUUGGACGGAGAAGGAUGCUUCUUGCAUUGAUUCCGUCCUAUUUCUGGCCUGCCAGUUUGUUCAGUUUAGCAAUGCCCAGCAAUGCUCGGUGUAGGGUGAUCCCAGCUGCUUCGGCCUGGUUCGACUGCGCGUCGGCCCGGUCGACUGUGGCUCUGAAAGCCUAAUCACUGAAUAGGCGUUGUUUCGGUGUGAACGUCGGCUACCCUCCCGACCCGUCUUGAAACACGGACCAAGGAGUCUAACGUGUGCGCAAGUCACUGGGUUUGUUAAACCUAUAGGCGCAAUGAAAGUAAAGGCCGGCUCGGUCGGCUCACACACGAUCCGUUCAGUCUGACUGUUCGGCGCAGUGUGGUCCCAUCUUGAAUGCUUGCAUUGAGGUGGAGAUAGAGCGCACAUGUUGGGACCCGAAAGAUGGUGAACUAUGCCUGAACAGGAUGAAGCCAGAGGAAACUCUGGUGGAAGUCCGAAACGGUUCUGACGUGCAAAUCGA
This 629-nucleotide ribosomal RNA is filed under the name Desmoscolecidae sp. 598_6-1500_X. Its description in RNAcentral is "eukaryotic LSU rRNA". It matches the Rfam family "Eukaryotic large subunit ribosomal RNA", at positions 392 to 901 of the family's 3401-position model. The record is from RNAcentral. Lineage: Eukaryota; Metazoa; Nematoda; Chromadorea; Desmoscolecida; Desmoscolecidae.